RNAcentral lists this ribosomal RNA (253 nucleotides) under uncultured bacterium. RNAcentral's name for it is "partial 16S ribosomal RNA". It matches the Rfam family "Bacterial small subunit ribosomal RNA", at positions 524 to 776 of the family's 1533-position model. The record is from RNAcentral.
UACGAAGGGGGCUAGCGUUGUUCGGAUUUACUGGGCGUAAAGCGCACGUAGGCGGAUUGUUAAGUCAGGGGUGAAAUCCUGGAGCUCAACUCCAGAACUGCCUUUGAUACUGAAGAUCUUGAGUUCGGGAGAGGUGAGUGGAACUGCGAGUGUAGAGGUGAAAUUCGUAGAUAUUCGCAAGAACACCAGUGGCGAAGGCGGCUCACUGGCCCGAUACUGACGCUGAGGCACGAAAGCGUGGGGAGCAAACAGG